UACGGGGGAUGCAAGCGUUAUCCGGAUUUAUUGGGUUUAAAGGGUGCGUAGGCUGUGAGGUAAGUCAGCGGUGAAAUGCCCCCGCUCAACGGGGUGAAGUGCCAUUGAUACUGCCUUGCUGGAAUGCGGAUGCCGUGGGAAGAAUGUGUGGUGUAGCGGUGAAAUGCAUAGAUAUCACACAGAACACCGAUUGCGAAGGCAUCUCACGAAUCCGCUAUUGACGCUGAUGCACGAAAGCGUGGGUAUCAAACAGG
Molecule: ribosomal RNA, 254 nt
Filed under: uncultured bacterium
Lineage: Bacteria
Description: partial 16S ribosomal RNA
Rfam family: Bacterial small subunit ribosomal RNA
Source: RNAcentral